UCUGUCUACACAGUGAGGCAGGGUGCAA
This 28-nucleotide non-coding RNA is filed under the name Homo sapiens (human). The record is from RNAcentral. Lineage: Eukaryota; Metazoa; Chordata; Mammalia; Primates; Hominidae.